RNAcentral lists this unclassified non-coding RNA (337 nucleotides) under soil metagenome. RNAcentral's name for it is "partial contains 5.8S ribosomal RNA, internal transcribed spacer 2, and large subunit ribosomal RNA". The stretch from base 1 to 120 matches the Rfam family "5.8S ribosomal RNA", at positions 35 to 154 of the family's 154-position model. The record is from RNAcentral.
GAUGAAGAACGUAGCGAAAUGCGAUAAGUAGUGUGAAUUACAGAAUUCAGUGAAUCAUCGAAUCUUUGAACGCACAUUGCGCCCCUUGGUAUUCCAUGGGGCAUGCCUGUUCGAGCGUCAUUUGUACCUUCAAGCCUUGCUUGGUGUUGGGUGUUUGUCUCGCCUCUGCGCGCAGACUCGCCUCAAAACAAUUGGCAGCCGGCGUAUUGAUUUCGGAGCGCAGUACAUCUCGCGCUUUGCACUCAGAACGACGACGUCCAAAAGUACAUUUUUACACUCUUGACCUCGGAUCAGGUAGGGAUACCCGCUGAACUUAAGCAUAUCAAUAAGCGGAGGA